AUGUCUGGUGGUGCUUCCAAAAGAUUUGGUGAGAAUGAAGACUUUGAACUUCUGCUGAGCAAAAGUGAUAUCAGAGAAUCAUCUUACCGCAAGCACUCCCUGUGGAUGGCACACUGGACAAGAGAUGGCCACAGUGCAGAACCUCAAAAUAGCAAGAGCUGUAGUCCGUUUGAGGAAAUCGAUGAUGUCGGAUAUUCAAAAGAUUGUGGGAAUUUACCUUUUGAGCUCAUGAAAGCUAGGAUGGCUGAAAGUUUGAUGGUUGGAGUUAGCCAUGGAGGUGCAUCUUCCGGGAAUACACAGCAAUUCAGUUCUAAUACGUGGGGUGUAGCACAUGAUGUUUGCCAAGAAGUUCAAUGCAAGAAUACUGAUCAGUUUAAUAGACCUUUCGAAAGAUCUAUGGUACAGAAAAAUCUGAAUGUAUAUGCUGCUAAGACAGUGAUAUCAGAAAGAUUUUCUGUACAUAAGCCUUCAGAUUUAUCUGUGGAUUCUCAUAAACUUUUGAGCUCUGACAAUCUGAGUUCAGAAUGGAGCCAUUUUCCUAUGUUUGCAAUCAAUAGGAAAAUUGACAGUAUACUCAACCCAAGACGGUCUGCUCUUUCUGUGUCAUCUGAUAAAUUUUUUGUUCCACAAUAUAAUUUGAAGGCAAAUAUAUCUGCGUCUAAUACAAUGGCAUUUUCAUCAAAGGAAUAUCAGUUCCACACACACCAAGUAUCUGAUGAAAAUAUGACUCGCUGCAAAUCUGCAGCAGUCAUCCAACCUCAUCAAGAUGAUUGUCUCGGUCUCAAUUCUGACCAUGCAGGAAGAAAUCUGAAAGGACAUUUGUCAGUUGAAGAAUCGUGCUCUUGCAGUAAGGAUGAAACUAACUCCCUUGGUAGCCCAUCAAAAGGGUCACCUUAUCAGUCUAGCAAGAAUAAAGACAUAUUUUCAGCAAGCAGAAAAGACGAUGAAAUUGUUGAAGCUUUGUUGGAACAGAAGUUAGGAACAUCUGAAAGAUGCCAAAAACAACAGGAUUGGGAGGAAGUAGUAUUUUAUGAGCCAGCAUUAGAUAGACAAUACCAGAUGAAAUCAGUUGAUGCUUCUUCCAUUGGCAAGGGCAUUGAUGUGGACAUUAAUGGCCAAGGUGUGACAUUUCCUAAUUUGUUACAAGGUGAACAACAAUAUCGCAAAGUGGAUUCUGCUGUGAAUUUCACAGAGAUCUCCAAGUUACUGGAUAAAAUUGAAAAGGCACCAGUAAUGAAGAGCAAAGGUGAAGCACUGGCUUGUAGAAAACCACCAAGGCAAAAAUUGACAAAUAGCAAGCAAAAAGGGUCCUGCUUAUUUGAAAUGUUAACGGUACCAUCCAAAUCACAUCUCACAUGCUCCAAAGAUCCAACAUAUUCGGUGAAUUCUCGCAGUAACACAAGCAGAUGUUCAUUGGAAACACAGAAACAGUUCUCGACAAAAACAGAUACAUUGUACAGCGAUACUCAUGAUGCAUCAAAAUCCAUAGCAGGGUUCGCUUCAACGUCAACACAAAAGGACUCUGGUUACCCAGACUCAGAAAAAACUGAACGGGUAGUCUCUUCCUCAACUAAAAGAGUAUCAAGCUGCUGUGAAGGAAAUGAAACAAUCAACAUGAGCUCGGAGCAUCAAAACUCUUAUUCCAAAGCAACUUGUGCUAGUAAGAAAGAAUGGAGCAUACCCAAAACGUCAAGCAUGAAUUUGGAUCUAGUUCUUUUUCAAAUGAGCAGAAUGAGAAAUCCGAUUUCCAAGGCUCCAACUGAGUCACCAGUAUGCUCAGACCCAAAUGACAAGUGGCUGAAACGCCUGAAAUGUGAUACUUCAGAUCCACAUGUUCCUUGUUCCAAGAAACCAAAGACUGGAGACAUAGCAACUCCUGGAGGAGCAUGUACCGUGUUUGGUCAAGUGCUUGAUUAUAAGAGGGACAGUGCUUGCAUGAUCAAACAGGUUAAGGAGGACCAAGUGGUGCAUGAAACAUUGAUGGACCAACAAAACCAAGAUGCGUCUCCUAUGUCAACAAAAAGUCUUAAUCACUGGAUAGGGAGGUGGUGCCAAGGUGGCUCCCCUAGUUUUCAUGGAGCUUCGAGUCCAGCAAAGCAAUCGCGAAAGUCUAACACACCACCUGAUUGUCUUGAAGGUCAGUUUCCAAGCAUCGCCGCGAUGGCUAUGAUGGGGCGUGUAAUGAACAAGCUCCGCCCUUGUGAACUUGAGAAGAGGGGUCCUUCUGUAGUCUGGAAGACAGAGGGGUUAUGA
Molecule: ribosomal RNA, 2253 nt
Filed under: Triticum aestivum (bread wheat)
Lineage: Eukaryota; Viridiplantae; Streptophyta; Magnoliopsida; Poales; Poaceae
Description: partial small subunit ribosomal RNA
Source: RNAcentral